GAUGACGAGCUGAGUUGCUGAGAGAGUAAGUCUGUGGAGCUGCAGGCCCCAUGUUAAAUAAUAAGGGAGGCUUUUGAUUUCAGUCAAAGAGGAAUCUUGUGUUAGGAUGGCAUGAGUUGUGUCGGUUAUGGAAACUAGAUGGAUGGUAUGUCAUAAGUGAUGUGGCUUGGUAAGAAAAUAAGGUUGUGAGAACCCUUGGUUUUGUCGGCAGGUUGGUGAGGUGGCAUGUAAGUUGGACUUG
RNAcentral lists this long non-coding RNA (241 nucleotides) under Ricinus communis (castor bean). Its description in RNAcentral is "long non-coding RNA (RCOM_LNC003246)". The record is from RNAcentral. Lineage: Eukaryota; Viridiplantae; Streptophyta; Magnoliopsida; Malpighiales; Euphorbiaceae.